RNAcentral lists this ribosomal RNA (451 nucleotides) under Fusobacterium sp. oral taxon 203. Its description in RNAcentral is "bacterial SSU rRNA". It matches the Rfam family "Bacterial small subunit ribosomal RNA", at positions 28 to 490 of the family's 1533-position model. Lineage: Bacteria; Fusobacteriati; Fusobacteriota; Fusobacteriia; Fusobacteriales; Fusobacteriaceae. The record is from RNAcentral.
GAUGAACGCUGACAGAAUGCUUAACACAUGCAAGUCUACUUGAAUUUGGGUUUUUUAACUUAGAUUUGGGUGGCGGACGGGUGAGUAACGCGUAAAGAACUUGCCUCACAGCUAGGGACAACAUUUGGAAACGAAUGCUAAUACCUGAUAUUGUGAUUUUAAGGCAUCUUAAAAUUAUGAAAGCUAUAUGCGCUGUGAGAGAGCUUUGCGUCCCAUUAGCUAGUUGGAGAGGUAACGGCUCACCAAGGCGAUGAUGGGUAGCCGGCCUGAGAGGGUGAACGGCCACAAGGGGACUGAGACACGGCCCUUACUCCUACGGGAGGCAGCAGUGGGGAAUAUUGGACAAUGGACCAAGAGUCUGAUCCAGCAAUUCUGUGUGCACGAUGACGUUUUUCGGAAUGUAAAGUGCUUUCAGUUGGGAAGAAAAAAAUGACGGUACCAACAGAAGAAG